AGGGGGUUCUCAAGAUACACACAAAUUUUUAUUAGUCUUGGUUUGGUUUUAUUCCAUUCAGAGGUUCUCUAGAAGAAGUUCAAAAUGUAAAAAGUUAAUGCCGACGACGACGGACGGCAAGUGAUGAGUUAAGGUCAUUUGGGCCAGGUGAGUUAAAAACAAGAAACAUGUAUAAAUUACAUAAACAAACAACAACUACUGUACAUUAGAUUCCUCAC
Molecule: long non-coding RNA, 218 nt
Filed under: Mytilus galloprovincialis (Mediterranean mussel)
Lineage: Eukaryota; Metazoa; Mollusca; Bivalvia; Mytilida; Mytilidae
Source: RNAcentral